CCCACUGGCACCUGCGGAGGAACCUCCGUCCCCUCUGAUUCCCUACAUUCUUGACCUGGAGAGUCCAGGGUCAGCCCUGAAUGCACAGCCACAUCGGAGCGGCCAGCCUGGGUAAAUGAAUGAACGGCACCAAAUCCCACGGUUAGGAGAGCACCAAAGUUUCAAGACAAAAAUCACAGGAACCACUGAUGGCGCCCAGUGAAUCGCUUUUAUUUCGGUAUGCAUCCACAUCUCAGCAUUUAGUGGUCCUGAACAGAAAAGUGGAAAAA
Molecule: long non-coding RNA, 269 nt
Organism: Lynx canadensis (Canada lynx)
Lineage: Eukaryota; Metazoa; Chordata; Mammalia; Carnivora; Felidae
Exons: 3
Source: RefSeq, a predicted model, not a curated record